Molecule: long non-coding RNA, 451 nt
Organism: Oncorhynchus masou masou (cherry salmon)
Lineage: Eukaryota; Metazoa; Chordata; Actinopteri; Salmoniformes; Salmonidae
Exons: 4
Source: RefSeq, a predicted model, not a curated record
CCAGUUGCAGCCCAGGCCCUUUGUUUUUAGUGCAUCUGGUGGAUCAGAUGAAUUUCCUCUCCUCCAGGGCAGCAGUGAGUGACCUCCGUGCAGGAGUAUUGUUUGAGGUUGAACGGGGUGAACGUCUUAUAUCUGAUAAGAUGGAUUCGAGUGCGAGGCGAGUGCAAUCACAUUCAGAAGGACUUGGACAAAGAGGAAAUGGAGUUUCAAAUGGCGAGUGCUGGUAGUUACCUGACAGGUAUACAGACGAGGAGGCACACAAAGACUUCACUCUCUCUACACCUCUGAUGAAUAUAACAGGAAACCUGUUCAAUUACCACGCACCUCAAAAUCAUUUUGGCUAUGGAUACGGAGAACAUCAACAAAUGAUCAUCAACACGCCAGAGGACAUACUCAUUGGACUUGGGGGUCUGCUGGGUGUUUACCUCAUAUUUGGAUGUUGUAAUUCUGC